Molecule: non-coding RNA, 213 nt
Organism: Vicia faba (fava bean)
Lineage: Eukaryota; Viridiplantae; Streptophyta; Magnoliopsida; Fabales; Fabaceae
Source: the annotation of a GenBank genome assembly
AUGGUUUCAGUUCGUCAAAAUCGAAUCAAUCUUUUAAGACGCAAUUGCGUGAGUUCGCUUGGUAUUGAAGUUACAAAUUCAAAGCAUACCGUGAUUCAUUUCAAAGUUAAGAUUCAUUCAAGUUCAUUCACAUAUCCAUCAUUCCAAAUACAUAUCAUUAUCCAAAGUAAACCAUUCAAGUUCAUCUACAAAAGUUACAAGCAUGUUCACUAA